GCUUGAGGUUUCACAUCGACAUGCAGUUGCUGCUUUGUGUUUUGAAUAUAUCAGUUUGAAUCAAAGGUGUUAUAAGUAAACACUUGCAGUUCCUAUUGUCAUUUAUUCACAACUUUUGAAAAUAUGCCCUCAUGUAGUUAUUUAAGUUUUCUAAUUCACCUUGGACUAGCAAUGAUUAUUUUUACCAUUCUGAAAAUCAUCUUUCUAGUCUGUUCUGAAGAUGAAAGGAAAAUGCAGUAUAGUAUACAUCUUUUCAUUUAAUAUGCAGUAAUGUUUUUGCAUAGAAACUGAAAUUCUUACCUAGAAACAUUCUUUUAGGUACUUACUAAAACAAAUAAAGCUAGGGCUUAGGGUUCAAGUCCUGGCUUCCCGCACUUAUCAGCUGUGGGACCCACUUAGUGUCUAGUCUUAUUUCCACAUCAGUAAAAGGAGAUAGCAUUAGCAAUCAUCUCAUUGGGCAGUUCUGGGGUCUAAGUGAGAUCACCCAGCACAACGUUGCUGUAUAGUAAGUCCUCAAUUUCAGCCAUUAUUGAAAGCACAGUAAACUACACUAUGCACUACAGUGCAUAGCGUUGAGUGUUUGUUACGUUAUGAGUGUUAUGGGUAGUGUUAUGAGUGUGGUGGAGGCUGUGACAUGCUGCUCUGAUCCCACUUCAGGAAUGAAGGGACUAUUCUCCCAGAUGAUGGGACUGCUGCCCCAAAUGGACAUCAGCUGUGAACUCUCUUUGGAGACUGCCUCACCCAAGAGCAUGUGUUCUUCUGGGGCAGCCUGAAACCAAAGAGAAGUCCAUCAGGAGGUAUAAAGGUCUGGCCCCUUUGCCCCAGUCUAGGACAGCUGAGAGGGCCACCCCAAUUCCAGAGUUCCCCCAUGGGGUUGGGUAAGGCCUACAUCACAGCUCAGCCUCUCCCUCCGUCUAACCCUGCUUCCUCUCUUCCUUUUGGCAGAUGUUGAUUUCAAGGGUGGUCCCUCAUAAGCAUCCUCCAUGCCAGUCUGCAUCUCAGAGUCUGCCUCCUGGGGAAGCAAUCUGCAACAAUGAGCCAUCACAAAUACAUUGGCAUUCAGCAUGGAAGGCCAAAAGAUCCUGGGCAAAUUUGCAAAGAAGGUCAAAUGCUUCUGGAAACCUCCUCAUCUUCCCUGCCCUCUUCUCUCACCUCUGCCCCUGGCUUCAGGAAAUUCAGGUGGCCCUUAGAGGCUCUGAUUCAGCUGGGAAUUAGAAUCAAAAGGCUUCCUCGGUGAUUCUGGAAUUUGUCACCAGAAAAAGAAGAAAGUUCAUUGACCAAAGGUAGUCACUGCACACCUGCAACCUGAAACGUCAUGGAAGCUCUUGUACUCCAGCCACCAGGCUGUGGGGCUCGCCCUGAGAGGCCUGGGCCACCAGCUACAACUAUUCCCUUUCUGCCCUGAGCUGUCAGGAUUUCUGCCAAUGAUUCCACUUGUAUGAGCUAUCUAUAAUAAACUCACAGAAGCAUAGAAUACAAUAGUGGUUUCCAGGGGUUGGGGACUGGGAAAGUGGAGAGUUGUUGUUCAAUGGGUGUAAAAUUUUAGUUCUGCUCGAUGAUUAAGUUCUAGGGAUCUAUUGCACAGCAUAGUGCCUAUAAUUUACAAUACUGUAUUAGACACUUCAAAUUUUGAUAAGAGGGAAGAUCUCAUGUUAAAUGUUCUUCACACACACACACACACACACACACACCCCAAAAACAAAGGGACACAAGGGAACUUUGGGAGGUGAUGGAUGUGACUAUUAUUUUGAUCACAGUGAUGGUAUCACGGGUUUUUGCAUAUGUCUAAACUCAUCAAAUCGUGCACAUUACAUAUCUGUAAUUCUUUGCAUGCCACUUAUACUUCAGUAAAACUAUUAAAAAUAUUUCUGGCAUUGUAGAAAAAAAUAACAACAACCAUAAUUGUAGCUACCACUUGCAUAGGGCUAACUAUCCUAAGGCCUAACUGCUCUCCGUUAACUAGCAGGUCCAAUCCUCUCAACAACCCUAUGAGGUAAGUAGCUUCAUUUUCCAAACGAGGAAACUGAGACACAGAGAAGUUAAGUGACAUGCCUAAAGUCACACAGCUAGAAAAUGACAGAGCUUGGAAUUGGGCAGCCAGUUCAGUUCCGGCUGCACUGCCUUCCCAGAAAGUGCCUAGCCUGGCACAACAAACCUUUUGUUAGGUUAUAUGGUCAGGGACUCUGUUUCAAAAGCUCCCUUUUUUAAAUAAACCCCCAAUAAGCACCACCCUUCUGCCACCUCCCUCUCAACUCUUCCUCAAGUUAGAACAUCUAAGCUACUUCCCAGGAGGUCCCUCAGCUGCCCUCAUCCUACAUUGCCUUCUUCUACUCAUAGUUCCUCUUUCUUCAAUGUUUCAGAGAACCAGGGUUCUCCUAUAUCCCAAGAUGAAUUUUAAAUCACUCUUCCCAUCAGUCCUCCUUGGAGAAGCAACAUCUCCCAACAUCUGUGUAUUCCAUUUCGCUCUGUCC
Molecule: long non-coding RNA, 2471 nt
Organism: Pan troglodytes (chimpanzee)
Lineage: Eukaryota; Metazoa; Chordata; Mammalia; Primates; Hominidae
Source: Ensembl